GGGUUGUGAGGUUAAGCGACUAAGCGUACACGGUGGAUGCCCUGGCAGUCAGAGGCGAUGAAGGACGUGCUAAUCUGCGAUAAGCGUCGGUAAGGUGAUAUGAACCGUUAUAACCGGCGAUUUCCGAAUGGGGAAACCCAGUGUGAUUCGUCACACUAUCAUUAACUGAAUCCAUAGGUUAAUGAGGCGAACCGGGGGAACUGAAACAUCUAAGUACCCCGAGGAAAAGAAAUCAACCGAGAUUCCCCCAGUAGCGGCGAGCGAACGGGGAGCAGCCCAGAGCCUGAAUCAGUGUGUGUGUUAGUGGAAGCGUCUGGAAAGGCGCGCGAUACAGGGUGACAGCCCCGUACACAAAAAUGCACAUGCUGUGAGCUCGAUGAGUAGGGCGGGACACGUGGUAUCCUGUCUGAAUAUGGGGGGACCAUCCUCCAAGGCUAAAUACUCCUGACUGACCGAUAGUGAACCAGUACCGUGAGGGAAAGGCGAAAAGAACCCCGGCGAGGGGAGUGAAAAAGAACCUGAAACCGUGUACGUACAAGCAGUGGGAGCCUCUUUAUGGGGUGACUGCGUACCUUUUGUAUAAUGGGUCAGCGACUUAUAUUCUGUAGCAAGGUUAACCGAAUAGGGGAGCCGAAGGGAAACCGAGUCUUAACUGGGCGUUAAGUUGCAGGGUAUAGACCCGAAACCCGGUGAUCUAGCCAUGGGCAGGUUGAAGGUUGGGUAACACUAACUGGAGGACCGAACCGACUAAUGUUGAAAAAUUAGCGGAUGACUUGUGGCUGGGGGUGAAAGGCCAAUCAAACCGGGAGAUAGCUGGUUCUCCCCGAAAGCUAUUUAGGUAGCGCCUCGUGAAUUCAUCUCCGGGGGUAGAGCACUGUUUCGGCAAGGGGGUCAUCCCGACUUACCAACCCGAUGCAAACUGCGAAUACCGGAGAAUGUUAUCACGGGAGACACACGGCGGGUGCUAACGUCCGUCGUGAAGAGGGAAACAACCCAGACCGCCAGCUAAGGUCCCAAAGUCAUGGUUAAGUGGGAAACGAUGUGGGAAGGCCCAGACAGCCAGGAUGUUGGCUUAGAAGCAGCCAUCAUUUAAAGAAAGCGUAAUAGCUCACUGGUCGAGUCGGCCUGCGCGGAAGAUGUAACGGGGCUAAACCAUGCACCGAAGCUGCGGCAGCGACACUAUGUGUUGUUGGGUAGGGGAGCGUUCUGUAAGCCUGUGAAGGUGUACUGUGAGGUAUGCUGGAGGUAUCAGAAGUGCGAAUGCUGACAUAAGUAACGAUAAAGCGGGUGAAAAGCCCGCUCGCCGGAAGACCAAGGGUUCCUGUCCAACGUUAAUCGGGGCAGGGUGAGUCGACCCCUAAGGCGAGGCCGAAAGGCGUAGUCGAUGGGAAACAGGUUAAUAUUCCUGUACUUGGUGUUACUGCGAAGGGGGGACGGAGAAGGCUAUGUUGGCCGGGCGACGGUUGUCCCGGUUUAAGCGUGUAGGCUGGUUUUCCAGGCAAAUCCGGAAAAUCAAGGCUGAGGCGUGAUGACGAGGCACUACGGUGCUGAAGCAACAAAUGCCCUGCUUCCAGGAAAAGCCUCUAAGCAUCAGGUAACAUCAAAUCGUACCCCAAACCGACACAGGUGGUCAGGUAGAGAAUACCAAGGCGCUUGAGAGAACUCGGGUGAAGGAACUAGGCAAAAUGGUGCCGUAACUUCGGGAGAAGGCACGCUGAUACGUAGGUGAAGUCCCUUGCGGAUGGAGCUGAAAUCAGUCGAAGAUACCAGCUGGCUGCAACUGUUUAUUAAAAACACAGCACUGUGCAAACACGAAAGUGGACGUAUACGGUGUGACGCCUGCCCGGUGCCGGAAGGUUAAUUGAUGGGGUUAGCGGUAACGCGAAGCUCUUGAUCGAAGCCCCGGUAAACGGCGGCCGUAACUAUAACGGUCCUAAGGUAGCGAAAUUCCUUGUCGGGUAAGUUCCGACCUGCACGAAUGGCGUAAUGAUGGCCAGGCUGUCUCCACCCGAGACUCAGUGAAAUUGAACUCGCUGUGAAGAUGCAGUGUACCCGCGGCAAGACGGAAAGACCCCGUGAACCUUUACUAUAGCUUGACACUGAACAUUGAGCCUUGAUGUGUAGGAUAGGUGGGAGGCUUUGAAGUGUGGACGCCAGUCUGCAUGGAGCCGACCUUGAAAUACCACCCUUUAAUGUUUGAUGUUCUAACGUUGGCCCCUAAUCGGGGUUGCGGACAGUGUCUGGUGGGUAGUUUGACUGGGGCGGUCUCCUCCUAAAGAGUAACGGAGGAGCACGAAGGUUGGCUAAUCCUGGUCGGACAUCAGGAGGUUAGUGCAAUGGCAUAAGCCAGCUUGACUGCGAGCGUGACGGCGCGAGCAGGUGCGAAAGCAGGUCAUAGUGAUCCGGUGGUUCUGAAUGGAAGGGCCAUCGCUCAACGGAUAAAAGGUACUCCGGGGAUAACAGGCUGAUACCGCCCAAGAGUUCAUAUCGACGGCGGUGUUUGGCACCUCGAUGUCGGCUCAUCACAUCCUGGGGCUGAAGUAGGUCCCAAGGGUAUGGCUGUUCGCCAUUUAAAGUGGUACGCGAGCUGGGUUUAGAACGUCGUGAGACAGUUCGGUCCCUAUCUGCCGUGGGCGCUGGAGAACUGAGGGGGGCUGCUCCUAGUACGAGAGGACCGGAGUGGACGCAUCACUGGUGUUCGGGUUGUCAUGCCAAUGGCACUGCCCGGUAGCUAAAUGCGGAAGAGAUAAGUGCUGAAAGCAUCUAAGCACGAAACUUGCCCCGAGAUGAGUUCUCCCUGACUCCCUGAGAGUCCUGAAGGAACGUUGAAGACGACGACGUUGAUAGGCCGGGUGUGUAAGCGCAGCGAUGCGUUGAGCUAACCGGUACUAAUGAACCGUGAGGCUUAACCUUACAACGCCGAAG
This 2925-nucleotide ribosomal RNA is filed under the name Escherichia coli. RNAcentral's name for it is "23S ribosomal RNA". It matches the Rfam family "Bacterial large subunit ribosomal RNA". Lineage: Bacteria; Pseudomonadati; Pseudomonadota; Gammaproteobacteria; Enterobacterales; Enterobacteriaceae. The record is from RNAcentral.